ACUGGGUCUAAUAAAACAUCUUUGAAAACCAUACCCUCAAAAGAAAAAAGUCUCAUCUCCAACCCUUUCCAUCCUCCAGACUUCCACCAUGGUGAUUUCUUCCCCAUCGUCAUCCUCUUCCACUCAACAAUCAAAGCCCACAUCGGUGCUUCCCUACAAGACACCUAGCUUAAAGGGGUUGUACAGUAUCGGAAAGAAACUGGGGCAAGGUCAGUUCGGAACUACUUACCUGUGUGUGGAGAAAUCGACCAGCAAGCGUUAUGCUUGCAAGACCAUCCCCAAGCGGAAACUCAUAUGCCGUGAGGACUAUGAAGACGUGUACAGAGAGAUCCAGAUCAUGCACCACCUGUCGGAGCACCCCAACGUUGUCAGGAUCA
RNAcentral lists this long non-coding RNA (377 nucleotides) under Zostera marina. Its description in RNAcentral is "long non-coding RNA (ZMAR_LNC005593)". Lineage: Eukaryota; Viridiplantae; Streptophyta; Magnoliopsida; Alismatales; Zosteraceae. The record is from RNAcentral.